Molecule: ribosomal RNA, 301 nt
Filed under: uncultured bacterium
Lineage: Bacteria
Description: partial 16S ribosomal RNA
Rfam family: Bacterial small subunit ribosomal RNA
Source: RNAcentral
CAGUAGCCGCGGUAAUACGAACCGUGCGAACGUUAUUCGGAAUUACUGGGCUUAAAGCGCGUGUAGGCGGGCCGCCACGUCGGUUGCUGAAAUCCCCCGGCUCAACCGGGGAAGUGGCAUCGAUACGAGCGGCCUUGAGGGGGGUAGGGGGAUCUGGAACUUCCGGUGGAGCGGUGAAAUGCGUUGAGAUCGGAAGGAACGCCCGUGGCGAAAGCGAGGUCCUGGACCCUUUCUGACGCUGAGACGCGAAAGCCAGGGGAGCGAACGGGAUUAGAGACCCCUGUAGUCCCUGUCUCUUAUA